GGGAUCAUGACCUGAGCCAAAGGCAGACACUUAACAAACUGAGCCAUCCAGGCCUCCCACCUUAUUCAUCUUAAUAGAGGGAGAAGACAUUAGGCAGAUGCGAUAAUAGUUGAGCCAUAUUUUAGUUCAGUUUCACAUGUAUUAAACGUGUCUUAAUUAGUAUAGGUAUAAUAGUAAGUUUCCUCUCCUUUGAGCUCUUAGGGGAGCUCAUAAAAAUUGAUGUGUGGAACCCGAGUUUUUAUAAAAUCCAUUUUCAUAUUCAUUGGUCUGUUGAAUACCUUGUGAAUGCUGAAGCCUGAUACUCGACUUCAUUACAUUUUCCUUGUACAGUCUUGACUGUUUGGAUGACAAGCUGUGAGCUCUGAGUGAAAAAUGAUUUAUUGUAUCAUAUACCCAGAAUAUUUCCUUUAAUAAUAUUGACCUGGCAGUUCUCACUGCUCCUAGUAUUAUCACAUUACUAUAGGUCAUCUACAUGGCUUCUUCGCCCUUUUUUCCUAGACUUAUCUCGGCAAGUCACUUCUUCCAGAUGACUCAACAGAGGAUGCUAAAUCAAGCAGAAUUUGGGCAGCUGCUCUUUUGGAAAGGAUGCUGAGGAACAGGAGUUUAUUCUGAAGAAAUCAGAAGUGAUACGAAGAGAUAUGAAAAUGAUAUUCAUUACAGCUCUAUACUGUGAUACAAAUGAGAAGCAAUUGAAUUCUACAAAAGUGAGAGUAAUGGAUUUUGGAUUAAUGUCUUUGGAGAAUAAGGAGUCUUAGAAGUUAAUUUUAUGCAGUAUACAUAUGGUAACAGAUUGGAAGAUCCCAGGAGCAACCAAGAUGAGUGAAGAGCAGACAGUGACUGAGCAGGAGAGACUGCUUCUGUGAGCAGUCCUGUGGGUUGAUUCCUCUCCUUACAUUCGAAGAACUAGCCACGAGCCUUGUAUGUACACUCAUUCUGUUAUUCAUCAUUGUAAAUAAUACACAGUUCCACAUUUAAAUAAAGCCACAUUUUCAAAAUUA
Molecule: long non-coding RNA, 998 nt
Organism: Mustela erminea (ermine)
Lineage: Eukaryota; Metazoa; Chordata; Mammalia; Carnivora; Mustelidae
Exons: 3
Source: RefSeq, a predicted model, not a curated record